GGACAUUGAUUUCAAAUCAGGAGCCAAAAAAACUAUUGUAUUGCCCACAUUUCCACUAGAUUCUCGCUUCAUGUCAACAUCUUCAUGGCAUCAAAAGUAUGAAUGUCAACAUAUGGUCCCUUCAUCUUAUGAGACAAUCAGAGCUCUUGUGUUUUCUGUUUCUCCAAUUGUGUCUGUUGUUGCCAGGAUCUAUGAUGCAAGACCUGGAACUCUGAAUAUUGUCUUGGAAACACCCAUGACGAAGGUUGUGGUAGAUAUGUCCAGGGGAGAUUUUUAUGCAGCUCCUUGGAAUCACAAAGCCUUCGAUGAUCCAUCUCCUGAUAGAUUUUGGCUGCAAAUAGAAGUAAUUGACAUAAUGGG
This 360-nucleotide unclassified non-coding RNA is filed under the name Hevea brasiliensis (rubber tree). The record is from RNAcentral. Lineage: Eukaryota; Viridiplantae; Streptophyta; Magnoliopsida; Malpighiales; Euphorbiaceae.